UACGUAGGUGGCGAGCGUUGUCCGGAAUUACUGGGUGUAAAGGGCGUGUAGGCGGGAUUGCAAGUCAGAUGUGAAAUUCCGGGGCUUAACCUCGGCGCUGCAUCUGAAACUGUGAUUCUUGAGUGCUGGAGAGGAUAGUGGUAUUCCUAGUGUAGCGGUGAAAUGCGUAGAUAUUAGGAGGAACACCAGUGGCGAAGGCGACUAUCUGGACAGUAACUGACGCUGAGGCGCGAAAGCGUGGGGAGCAAACAGGAUUAGAUACCCUGGUAGUCCACGCCGUAAACGAUGGAUACUAGGUGUAGGAGGUAUCGACCCCUUCUGUGCCGGAGUUAACACAAUAAGUAUCCCACCUGGGGAGUACGGCCGCAAGGUUGAA
Molecule: ribosomal RNA, 376 nt
Filed under: uncultured bacterium
Lineage: Bacteria
Description: bacterial SSU rRNA
Rfam family: Bacterial small subunit ribosomal RNA
Source: RNAcentral